This 249-nucleotide long non-coding RNA is filed under the name Anser cygnoides (Swan goose). RNAcentral's name for it is "lncRNA (ENSACDG00005006403.1)". The record is from RNAcentral. Lineage: Eukaryota; Metazoa; Chordata; Aves; Anseriformes; Anatidae.
AUGUGCAAGCCAUCGGAGAGCAAAGACCAUCUUUUGAACUGUCAUGCCAUCCCCAGCUCUCCAUUGCCUAACCGAGGGUGCAUUGCAAUUGCUGUUCUUACCUACUGUAGUGGUGGAUCAUGGGAAAAAGCUUGCUCAGAGAGCCUCAUUCUGGACGGGCCUGAUGGGGAGAGGUGGCACUCAGGUGAUGAAGAAAUACUCCACACCAUUCACCAGCCUAGCGAGAAGAAGGCUUUGUGCUCAUUUUGA